CACAGGUGAGAGAGUUUGAGUGCACAGGUGUGCGUGCGUGUGAGCGUGCGUGCUUGCGUGCGUGCGAGAAGGUCAGAGUGCGCCGCGUGUCCGUGAGUGAAAGUGCGCGUUUUUGUGUUCAGAUGGAGGACGCCCCCAGCUCCCAGAAGAGCGGGCGACUUUCUUCCUCUCACGACUUGGGGAGAGGAGGAGGAGGACCGUUUCCGACGUGGACAGGUUUCGACGUCUUAGGGGUGAGAGCAGCUGUUUUCACAAUGUUGCCUGUUGAAGAAUCCAGGCCCGUUGUCUCAUGGAAGGUCCACGUCCAGGAUCUGCCUGUGUUUCCUUACAAUGUCAUUGAACUUGUUCCUCUGGCCCCUGUAUUGCCUAUAAACUUGAAGGUAGGCCUGGCGACUUGAUUAGAUACUUCUUAGCCCAUCUGGGGGAGACUAACCCAUGGGCAGGGCUCCCUUGGUGCUGACCUGGAGGCCCUCAGGAGGUUGCCCACCACAGUCCCAUGUCAUGCUGAGUUGCUGACAGCUGGGUCUCCUCAUUGUAAGGGGUCAGUUUCCUUGAAGGGAAAUGUUUGUCCUAUCCUGUCUCUCCCUCUUUUUUUUUUUUUUUUUUUUUUUU
RNAcentral lists this long non-coding RNA (612 nucleotides) under Sus scrofa (pig). Its description in RNAcentral is "lncRNA (ENSSSCG00030062785.1)". Lineage: Eukaryota; Metazoa; Chordata; Mammalia; Artiodactyla; Suidae. The record is from RNAcentral.